RNAcentral lists this ribosomal RNA (652 nucleotides) under Babesia canis rossi. RNAcentral's name for it is "SSU rRNA". It matches the Rfam family "Eukaryotic small subunit ribosomal RNA", at positions 420 to 1135 of the family's 1831-position model. The record is from RNAcentral. Lineage: Eukaryota; Apicomplexa; Aconoidasida; Piroplasmida; Babesiidae.
GGGGGGCGGGCGGCCGCAAUUACCCAAUCCCGACACGGGGAGGUAGUGACAAGAAAUAACAAUACAGGGCUAAUGUCUUGUAAUUGGAAUGAUGGUGACUUAAACCCUCACCAGAGUAGCAAUUGGAGGGCAAGUCUGGUGCCAGCAGCCGCGGUAAUUCCAGCUCCAAUAGCGUAUAUUAAACUUGUUGCAGUUAAAAAGCUCGUAGUUGUAUUUUUGCUUGGCGGUUUGUUGCCUUUGUGGCUUGAUUCCGCUUGGCUUUUGGCUUUUUGCCUUAUUACUUUGAGAAAAUUAGAGUGUUUCAAGCAGACUUUUGUCUUGAAUACUGUAGCAUGGAAUAAUAGAGUAGGACUUUGGUUCUAUUUUGUUGGUUUGGGAACCUUGGUAAUGGUUAAUAGGAACGGUUGGGGGCAUUCGUAUUUAACUGUCAGAGGUGAAAUUCUUAGAUUUGUUAAAGACGAACUACUGCGAAAGCAUUUGCCAAGGACGUUUCCAUUAAUCAAGAACGAAAGUUAGGGGAUCGAAGACGAUCAGAUACCGUCGUAGUCCUAACCAUAAACUAUGCCGACUAGUGAUUGGAGGUCGUCGUUUGUAUGACCCCUUCAGGAGCUUGAGAGAAAUCAAAGUCUUUGGGGGGAGUAUGGGUCGCAAA